CGAAGUUUUAAUCUCGAACCCGUCGUCUUCGGUGAGGAUUCUACCAAAACUGAAAACAGACGGAACUAAAAAGAAACCAAAGGAAGCGUUUUUCAUUUUCGCAGUUCGUACAGGAUUCUGAAUCUCGAGAAAAGGCUUCGUUUUGGGUCCGAUUCUUUGAGGUUAUGGAAGUAGAUUUUGGUCCUAUUAGUUGUUGCUCCAAGGAGCAUCAAAGGAUCUACCAGGAGUGGUUCAAUUACGCUGAUUAUGAUGGUGAUGGGCGCGUUACGGGUAAUGAUGCUACGAAGUUCUUCGCCAUGUCUAAUUUGUCUCGACAGGAUCUCAAGCAGGUGUGGGCAAUUGCGGAUUCCAAGCGACAGGGGUAUCUUGGUUUUAAAGAGUUCAUUAGUGCCAUGCAGCUAGUUUCUCUGGCACAAGCUGGGCAUGAAAUAAAACAUGACCUCCUGAGCAGUGAUGUUGACUUGAAAGACGUGAAACCUCCAGUGAUGGAAGGUUUAGAUGCACUAUUGGAGAAGAAAAAACGUUCAUCAAAGACCAGUGAUAAUGAUCUAAAUGGUGGUUCCCUAGUGAAAACAUCACCUUCGGCAAAUUGGUUUUCUUCAAAGUCAGCGAAAAAGGUAUCUUCAUCCUCUGUCACAUCAAUCAUAGAUGGCUUGAAGAGACUGUACAUUCAAAAGCUGAAGCCUCUGGAAGUUACCUAUCGUUUUAACGACUUCGUAUCGCCAUUAUUGACAAAUAGUGAUUUUGAUGCCAAACCAAUGGUGAUGCUUUUGGGCCAAUACUCCACUGGGAAAACAACAUUCAUUAAGCAUUUGCUCAACUGCAAUUAUCCUGGAGCUCAUAUUGGACCUGAGCCAACCACGGACAGAUUUGUUGUUGUGAUGUCUGGACCAGAUGAACGAAGUAUCCCUGGAAACACUAUUGCUGUCCAAGCAGACAUGCCCUUUAGUGGUCUCACAACCUUUGGAACUGCAUUUUUGUCAAAAUUUGAAUGUUCUCAAAUGCCGCAUCCUCUUCUGGAGCACAUUACAUUUGUGGAUACCCCUGGAGUUUUAUCGGGUGAGAAGCAACGAACUCAGAGGGCAUAUGAUUUUACGGGUGUAAUAUCCUGGUUUGCUGCAAAGUGUGAUCUCAUCCUACUUCUGUUUGAUCCUCACAAACUUGAUAUAAGUGAUGAAUUCAAGCGUGUGAUUUCCUCUUUACGUGGCCAUGAUGACAAGAUUCGUGUUGUUCUGAACAAGGCUGACCAAGUUGAUACUCAACAACUAAUGAGAGUUUAUGGAGCUUUGAUGUGGUCGUUAGGGAAAGUUCUUAAUACUCCCGAGGUUAUGCGUGUGUACAUUGGCUCAUUUAAUGACAUACCUGUAAAUGAAGCUGCUGCUGGUCCUAUAGGGAAAGAACUUUUCGAGAAGGAACAGGACAACCUUCUUUCUGACCUAAAAGCUAUUCCAAAGAAGGCCUGUGAUCGUAGGAUCAAUGAAUUCGUGAAACGUGCCAGAGCUGUCAAGAUACAUGCUUAUAUCAUAGGUCAUCUUAAAAAGGCGAUGCCUGCUAUGAUGGGGAAAACUAAAGCUCAACAGAAGCUUAUCGACAAACUGGAAGAAGAGUUCGCAAAGGUGCAAAGAGAGUUUCAUCUGCCACCGGGAGAUUUCCCAAACGUCGAACAGUUUAGAGAGAUUUUAAGUGGUUACAACUUUGAUAAGUUUGAGAAGUUGAAGCCUAAGAUGAUACAAGCUGUUGAUGACAUGCUGGGCUAUGACAUACCAGACCUCUUGAAGAACUUCAGAAAUCCGUACGAUUAACGGUUCUCGGUUUCUCAUUGUCCUAGAAUUGCAAAUUGUCAAACAAGUAUAGAUCGACACCCAAUAAAUUUUAGAUUCGUCUUUACUGCAAAAUUGAAGAAGCUAGGGUUUCCAGUAGAAUAUUCAGUGGGAUAUUCUUCUCUUUUCUUGCCAAUGCAACAUAAAAUCAAGAUAUUAAGGCAAAGAAAAGUUUUCCAAGAAACCCCUUCAGGCAUGCCUUUCUUAUCCACCAAGAACAAGGUUUCAACCCCUAAGAAGGUACGAAAAUCCUUCUUCUCCAGCAUACUCAAAACCACUCACCGUUUCUUUGGUUCCCCAAAUGAAAAUCAACUCCAUUGUCGUCGGAGGAUAAAUCAUCAAGAAGUGAAAAUAAUAAGGGAGGUUGCUGUAGAAGUGACGAAUAAUAAUAUCGUCGACGAUGACGACGACGACGAGGGGAGGAAUUGCAAGGCUUUGGUGCUUCAUGGAGUGGAUGCAAAAGCACAAGAAUACAUUGAUAGUGUCAGAAGAACUUGGAUGAUAGAGAAGCAGAAUUCUGAUAAAGAGUUUUGUGACAUGCUUGCUAGGGGCACCUAAUAAAUCAUUUUAGAUUUUUAAGACUGAUUUAGUGAUUGGGUUUUGUCAUGAAAAUGGGGUUUGGACAUUUUAUUUCAAUCCCCCCACUUUUUUUUUGUAAGUGUCAAUGUUUAGGACUCUAUUUAAUUAAAAUAUU
RNA transcript from Tripterygium wilfordii, 2514 nucleotides. It is a transcript of the gene named EH domain-containing protein 1, with no coding region annotated. The record is from RefSeq and is a predicted model, not a curated record. NCBI's taxonomy places the organism in Eukaryota, Viridiplantae, Streptophyta, Magnoliopsida, Celastrales, Celastraceae. The transcript has 18 exons.